Molecule: transfer RNA, 52 nt
Filed under: Spinibdella lignicola
Lineage: Eukaryota; Metazoa; Arthropoda; Arachnida; Trombidiformes; Bdellidae
Description: tRNA-Gly
Source: RNAcentral
AUUUUAUUAGUUUAAUAGAACAUUUAUUUUCCAAAUAAAAAGAUAUAAAAUA